UGUCUGUAUACACACACACACCCAUAUAUAUAUAUACAUAUGUGUGUAUGUAUGUGUGUAUAUAA
This 65-nucleotide microRNA precursor is filed under the name Loxodonta africana (African savanna elephant). RNAcentral describes it as "miRNA (ENSLAFG00000023548.1)". Lineage: Eukaryota; Metazoa; Chordata; Mammalia; Proboscidea; Elephantidae. The record is from RNAcentral.